UAUUUAAUAUAAUAUUUUAACAUUUUAUAUAAUAUUAACAUAAUUCUAUUACUAUUCUGUAGUAUAUGAAAUUUUACUUUGAGAAAAUUAGAGUGCUUAAAGCAGGCUUAUGCCUUGAAUACUAGAGCAUGGAAUAAUAUUAAAGAUUUUUAUCUUUCUUUAUUGGUUCUAAGAUAGAAAAUAAAUGAUUAAUAGGGACAGUUGGGGGCAUUUGUAUUUAACAGUUAGAGGUGAAAUUCUUAGAUUUGUUAAAGACAAACUAAUGCGAAAGCAUUUGCCAAGGAUGUUUUCAUUAAUCAAGAACGAAAGUUAGNUGGGAUCGAAGACGAUCAGAUACCCGUCGUAGUCUUAACCAUAAACUAUGCCAACUAGAGAUUGGAGGUUGUUCCUUAGCGGCCGCCA
This 402-nucleotide ribosomal RNA is filed under the name Cryptosporidium sp. M452. RNAcentral's name for it is "bacterial SSU rRNA". It matches the Rfam family "Eukaryotic small subunit ribosomal RNA", at positions 679 to 1082 of the family's 1831-position model. The record is from RNAcentral. Lineage: Eukaryota; Apicomplexa; Conoidasida; Eucoccidiorida; Cryptosporidiidae.